AAGGUUAACAAAAUUAAGAGUGAAUUGAACCAAAAAGUUCGGAUAAAAAAUGUUUAUAAAUGAUUAAAAUAAAAAUGAAAAAAUAAAAUAAAAUGAAAAAUAAAAGAAAAUAUGAAUUAAAUGCAAAAAUAAUUUUAAAAAAAAUGCAAAAAAAAUGGUAUGUGAUAGAAAAUAUUUUUCUGGAAUUAUGGAAAAAAAAUUGAAUCAAAAAAUAUUUUUAUGGAUUGGCCAAGGAUUUGAAUUUUCCCACUGAAGUGCC
This 259-nucleotide long non-coding RNA is filed under the name Lathyrus oleraceus (garden pea). RNAcentral describes it as "Pisum sativum (pea) long non-coding RNA (PSAT_LNC014108)". The record is from RNAcentral. Lineage: Eukaryota; Viridiplantae; Streptophyta; Magnoliopsida; Fabales; Fabaceae.